GUCUUAUUGAAUUUAAAAUAAUAAGUUUGUUCUGCCCAUUGAAUUAAAUAUUUUAAAAGGCUGCAGUAAUUUAACUGUACAAAGGUAGCAUAAUCAAUAGUUUUUUAAUUGAAAACUUGAAUGAAAGAAUUGAUAAAAUAUUAGUUGUCUCAAAUUUAAAUAAUUGAAUUUAUAUUUAAAGUUAAAAUUCUUUAAUUAAUUUAUUAGACGAUAAGACCCUAAGAAUUUUAUAAUUUAUUUAUUAUUUAUUAAAUUAGUUUAAUUUAAAAUUUAUAAUUUAAUUAUUUUAUUGGGAGGGUAAUUAAAAAUUUAAACUUUAAUUAAAUUUAAACUUUGAUAAAUGAGUUUAAUGAUUAUUAUUAUAGUUAUUAGAAUAAAUUACCUUAGGGAUAACAGCGUAAUAAUUUUGGAAAGUUCAUAUUGAUAAAAUUGGUUGCGACCUCGAUGUUGAAUUAAAAUAAAAAUUAAAUGGAGAAGUUUAAGGUUUUAGUCUGUUCGACUAUUAAAUUUUUACAU
RNAcentral lists this ribosomal RNA (516 nucleotides) under Mischocyttarus consimilis. Its description in RNAcentral is "partial 16S ribosomal RNA". The stretch from base 389 to 516 matches the Rfam family "Bacterial large subunit ribosomal RNA", at positions 2473 to 2601 of the family's 2925-position model. Lineage: Eukaryota; Metazoa; Arthropoda; Insecta; Hymenoptera; Vespidae. The record is from RNAcentral.